GAUCAGGUACGCAAACAGGAAAAGCGGCCACGGUGAGAACGUGGUGACUUUGUGGGUUCGACUCCCACUCUGAUCA
Molecule: transfer RNA, 76 nt
Filed under: Bremerella sp. P1
Lineage: Bacteria; Pseudomonadati; Planctomycetota; Planctomycetia; Pirellulales; Pirellulaceae
Description: tRNA-Leu
Rfam family: tRNA
About the family: Transfer RNA (tRNA) molecules are approximately 80 nucleotides in length. Their secondary structure includes four short double-helical elements and three loops (D, anti-codon, and T loops).
Source: RNAcentral